GGGCGGCUAGCUCAGCGGGAGAGCACUGCCUUCACACGGCAGGGGUCACAGGUUCGAACCCUGUGCCGCCCACCA
RNAcentral lists this transfer RNA (75 nucleotides) under Magnetococcales bacterium. RNAcentral describes it as "tRNA-Val". It matches the Rfam family "tRNA". Rfam says of the family: Transfer RNA (tRNA) molecules are approximately 80 nucleotides in length. Their secondary structure includes four short double-helical elements and three loops (D, anti-codon, and T loops). Further hydrogen bonds mediate the characteristic L-shaped molecular structure. tRNAs have two regions of fundamental functional importance: the anti-codon, which is responsible for specific mRNA codon recognition, and the 3' end, to which the tRNAs corresponding amino acid is attached (by aminoacyl-tRNA synthetases). tRNAs cope with the degeneracy of the genetic code in two manners: having more than one tRNA (with a specific anti-codon) for a particular amino acid; and 'wobble' base-pairing, i.e. permitting non-standard base-pairing at the 3rd anti-codon position. The record is from RNAcentral. Lineage: Bacteria; Pseudomonadati; Pseudomonadota; Magnetococcia; Magnetococcales.